GAUGAACGCUGGCGGCGUGCCUAAUACAUGCAAGUCGAGCGAACGGACGAGAAGCUUGCUUCUCUGAUGUUAGCGGCGGACGGGUGAGUAACACGUGUAUAACCUACCUAUAAGACUGGGAUAACUUCGGGAAACCGUAGCUAAUACCGGAUAAUCUUUUGAACCGCAUGGUUCAAAAGUGAAAGACGGUCUUGCUGUCACUUAUAGAUGCAUCCGCGCUGCAUUAGCUAGUUGGUAUGGCAACGGCUUACCAAGGCAACGAUGCAUAGCCGACCUGAGAGCGUGAUCGGCCACCCGGGAACUGAGACACGGUGCAGACUCCUACGGGAGGCAGCAGUAGAGAAUCUUCCGCAAUGGGCGAAAGCGUGACGGAGCAACGCCGCGUCAGUGAUGAAGGUCUUCGGAUCGUAAAGUUCUGAUAUUCGGGAAGAACAUAUGUGUAAGCAACUGUGCACAUCUUGACGGUACCUGAUCAAGAAGCCCCGGCUAACUACGUG
This 497-nucleotide ribosomal RNA is filed under the name uncultured bacterium. RNAcentral describes it as "partial 16S ribosomal RNA". It matches the Rfam family "Bacterial small subunit ribosomal RNA", at positions 28 to 507 of the family's 1533-position model. The record is from RNAcentral.